Molecule: ribosomal RNA, 1503 nt
Filed under: Lactiplantibacillus plantarum
Lineage: Bacteria; Bacillati; Bacillota; Bacilli; Lactobacillales; Lactobacillaceae
Description: bacterial SSU rRNA
Rfam family: Bacterial small subunit ribosomal RNA
Source: RNAcentral
CUGGCUAGACGACGCUGGCGGCGUGCCUAAUACAUGCAAGUCGAACGAACUCUGGUAUUGAUUGGUGCUUGCAUCAUGAUUUACAUUUGAGUGAGUGGCGAACUGGUGAGUAACACGUGGGAAACCUGCCCAGAAGCGGGGGAUAACACCUGGAAACAGAUGCUAAUACCGCAUAACAACUUGGACCGCAUGGUCCGAGUUUGAAAGAUGGCUUCGGCUAUCACUUUUGGAUGGUCCCGCGGCGUAUUAGCUAGAUGGUGGGGUAACGGCUCACCAUGGCAAUGAUACGUAGCCGACCUGAGAGGGUAAUCGGCCACAUUGGGACUGAGACACGGCCCAAACUCCUACGGGAGGCAGCAGUAGGGAAUCUUCCACAAUGGACGAAAGUCUGAUGGAGCAACGCCGCGUGAGUGAAGAAGGGUUUCGGCUCGUAAAACUCUGUUGUUAAAGAAGAACAUAUCUGAGAGUAACUGUUCAGGUAUUGACGGUAUUUAACCAGAAAGCCACGGCUAACUACGUGCCAGCAGCCGCGGUAAUACGUAGGUGGCAAGCGUUGUCCGGGAUUUAUUGGGCGUAAAGCGAGCGCAGGCGGUUUUUUAAGUCUGAUGUGAAAGCCUUCGGCUCAACCGAAGAAGUGCAUCGGAAACUGGGAAACUUGAGUGCAGAAGAGGACAGUGGAACUCCAUGUGUAGCGGUGAAAUGCGUAGAUAUAUGGAAGAACACCAGUGGCGAAGGCGGCUGUCUGGUCUGUAACUGACGCUGAGGCUCGAAAGUAUGGGUAGCAAACAGGAUUAGAUACCCUGGUAGUCCAUACCGUAAACGAUGAAUGCUAAGUGUUGGAGGGUUUCCGCCCUUCAGUGCUGCAGCUAACGCAUUAAGCAUUCCGCCUGGGGAGUACGGCCGCAAGGCUGAAACUCAAAGGAAUUGACGGGGGCCCGCACAAGCGGUGGAGCAUGUGGUUUAAUUCGAAGCUACGCGGAAGAACCUUACCAGGUCUUGACAUACUAUGCAAAUCUAAGAGAUUAGACGUUCCCUUCGGGGACAUGGAUACAGGUGGUGCAUGGUUGUCGUCAGCUCGUGUCGUGAGAUGUUGGGUUAAGUCCCGCAACGAGCGCAACCCUUAUUAUCAGUUGCCAGCAUUAAGUUGGGCACUCUGGUGAGACUGCCGGUGACAAACCGGAGGAAGGUGGGGAUGACGUCAAAUCAUCAUGCCCCUUAUGACCUGGGCUACACACGUGCUACAAUGGAUGGUACAACGAGUUGCGAACUCGCGAGAGUAAGCUAAUCUCUUAAAGCCAUUCUCAGUUCGGAUUGUAGGCUGCAACUCGCCUACAUGAAGUCGGAAUCGCUAGUAAUCGCGGAUCAGCAUGCCGCGGUGAAUACGUUCCCGGGCCUUGUACACACCGCCCGUCACACCAUGAGAGUUUGUAACACCCAAAGUCGGUGGGGUAACCUUUUAGGAACCAGCCGCCUAAGGUGGGACAGAUGAUUAGGGGAAGUCGA